RNAcentral lists this ribosomal RNA (433 nucleotides) under uncultured bacterium. Its description in RNAcentral is "partial 16S ribosomal RNA". It matches the Rfam family "Bacterial small subunit ribosomal RNA", at positions 29 to 507 of the family's 1533-position model. The record is from RNAcentral.
AACGAACGCUGGCGGCAUGCCUAACACAUGCAAGUCGAACGAGACCUUCGGGUUUAGUGGCGCACGGGUGCGUAACGCGUGGGAACCUGCCCUUAGGUUCGGAAUAACUCCCCGAAAGGGGUGCUAAUACCGGAUAAUGUCUUCGGACCAAAGAUUUAUCGCCUUUGGAUGGGCCCGCGUUGGAUUAGCUAGUUGGUAGGGUAAAAGCCUACCACGGCGACGAUCCAUAGCUGGUCUGUGAGGAUGAUCAGCCACACUGGGACUGAGACACGGCCCAGACUCCUACGGGAGGCAGCAGUGGGGAAUAUUGGACAAUGGGCGAAAGCCUGAUCCAGCAAUGCCGCGUGAGUGAUGAAGGCCUUAGGGUUGUAAAGCUCUUUUACCCGGGAUGAUAAUGACAGUACCGGGAGAAUAAGCUCCGGCUAACUCCGUG